UAGGGAAUCUUCCGCAAUGGACGCAAGUCUGACGGAGCAACGCCGCGUGAGUGAAGAAGGAUUUCGGUUCGUAAAACUCUGUUGUUAGAGAAGAACAGCGCAUAGAGUAACUGUUAUGCGUGUGACGGUAUCUAACCAGAAAGCCACGGCUAACUACGUGCCAGCAGCCGCGGUAAUACGUAGGUGGCAAGCGUUGUCCGGAUUUAUUGGGCGUAAAGCGAGCGCAGGCGGUCAAUUAAGUCUGAUGUGAAAGCCCCCGGCUCAACCGGGGAGGGUCAUUGGAAACUGGUUGACUUGAGUGCAGAAGAGGAGAGUGGAAUUCCAUGUGUAGCGGUGAAAUGCGUAGAUAUAUGGAGGAACACCAGUGGCGAAGGCGACUCUCUGGUCUGUAACUGACGCUGAGGAACGAAAGCGUGGGUAGCAAACAGG
This 429-nucleotide ribosomal RNA is filed under the name Bacteroidota bacterium. RNAcentral describes it as "Bacteroidetes bacterium partial 16S ribosomal RNA". It matches the Rfam family "Bacterial small subunit ribosomal RNA", at positions 355 to 776 of the family's 1533-position model. Lineage: Bacteria; Pseudomonadati; Bacteroidota. The record is from RNAcentral.